This 513-nucleotide ribosomal RNA is filed under the name Staphylococcus aureus. Its description in RNAcentral is "bacterial SSU rRNA". It matches the Rfam family "Bacterial small subunit ribosomal RNA", at positions 304 to 809 of the family's 1533-position model. Lineage: Bacteria; Bacillati; Bacillota; Bacilli; Caryophanales; Staphylococcaceae. The record is from RNAcentral.
UCGGCCACACUGGAACUGAGACACGGUCCAGACUCCUACGGGAGGCAGCAGUAGGGAAUCUUCCGCAAUGGGCGAAAGCCUGACGGAGCAACGCCGCGUGAGUGAUGAAGGUCUUCGGAUCGUAAAACUCUGUUAUUAGGGAAGAACAUAUGUGUAAGUAACUGUGCACAUCUUGACGGUACCUAAUCAGAAAGCCACGGCUAACUACGUGCCAGCAGCCGCGGUAAUACGUAGGUGGCAAGCGUUAUCCGGAAUUAUUGGGCGUAAAGCGCGCGUAGGCGGUUUUUUAAGUCUGAUGUGAAAGCCCACGGCUCAACCGUGGAGGGUCAUUGGAAACUGGAAAACUUGAGUGCAGAAGAGGAAAGUGGAAUUCCAUGUGUAGCGGUGAAAUGCGCAGAGAUAUGGAGGAACACCAGUGGCGAAGGCGACUUUCUGGUCUGUAACUGACGCUGAUGUGCGAAAGCGUGGGGAUCAAACAGGAUUAGAUACCCUGGUAGUCCACGCCGUAAACGA